AUGGGCUCAGUAGUUGGAUCACUGGACCACCAGGAAAUCCAUAUUCCACAUUGCCAAGGCUUUGGUGCUGUGCUGCAGCUUCAUCAUCAAGAUUUGGCAAGCAACAAUGGGAAAGGAAGGAUUUCUAUGAAGUUGAGAGAAGAGUCAUUCAAGUGCCCUGGACUGCACACCAGAAGCAAAGAGCUGACUUUGUACUUUUGCCCACAGACUGGAAUAUCUCACCUUGCUAAGAAGAAAGGUUUCAGAGAGGAUUUUGAUUUUUUUUCAGAUCACAAUGGUGGAUCUAUUUAAAUCCUGGAACUCUGAUGAUUGCUCCAAAAAUUCAUGCAACAGAGCAUCAUCCAAAAAAGGUCAGCUUUUACUGUUAAUAUAAAACUGUGAGGCUGGUAUUUGGAUCCCUUUUCACAGAGGAGGAAACGGAGUACAGGACAUUAAAGAAGUGCCCGAAGACCAUGAUGUCAAGCUGUCAGACCAUGAAACAUGCCUCCUAGGUCCCCAAGGGCAUUGUUCUUCCUCUGUCUGGAUGUUUAGGAAUAUCUGCCAAUAAUAACAAUUUUGUUUUUGUCAUUAGCGAUGACAGUUUUAUCACUGUUGCUUUUGAGAAAAAGAAAAAAAAAUGAGCCAACAGAUUCAGUUGCUUCUUGAAUAUUCCCUUAAUAGUGACUAUUGGAUCACACUGUUGAAAAGAGGCCGUGUAUUCAGGUCAUUAAAAAAAUAAAAAAGCUUUUAAGCUUCAGAUGGAGAAUUUAGAUAUAAUUAUCUAGUACAUAGCUAAAUUGCAACUAGAUCUAGGAAAAUAGAAUUCCUCU
Molecule: long non-coding RNA, 809 nt
Filed under: Ovis aries (sheep)
Lineage: Eukaryota; Metazoa; Chordata; Mammalia; Artiodactyla; Bovidae
Description: lncRNA (ENSOARG00000025673.1)
Source: RNAcentral